RNAcentral lists this ribosomal RNA (443 nucleotides) under uncultured bacterium. RNAcentral describes it as "partial 16S ribosomal RNA". It matches the Rfam family "Bacterial small subunit ribosomal RNA", at positions 338 to 795 of the family's 1533-position model. The record is from RNAcentral.
CCUACGGGAGGCUGCAGUGGGGAAUAUUGGGCAAUGGGCGCAAGCCUGACCCAGCAACGCCGCGUGAAGGAAGAAGGCUUUCGGGUUGUAAACUUCUUUUCUCAGGGACGAAGAAAGUGACGGUACCUGAGGAAUAAGCCACGGCUAACUACGUGCCAGCAGCCGCGGUAAUACGUAGGUGGCAAGCGUUAUCCGGAUUUACUGGGUGUAAAGGGCGUGUAGGCGGGAAAGCAAGUCAGAGGUGAAAACCAUGGGCUCAACCUGUGGCCUGCAUUUGAAACUGUUUUUCUUGAGUACUGGGGAGGCAGACGGAAUUCCUAGGGUAGCGGUGAAAUGCGUAGAUAUUAGGAGGAACACCAGUGGCGAAGGCGGUCUGCUGGACAGCAACUGACGCUGAGGCGCGAAAGCGUGGGGAGCAAACAGGAUUAGAUACCCGGGUAUUC